This 712-nucleotide ribosomal RNA is filed under the name uncultured crenarchaeote. RNAcentral describes it as "bacterial SSU rRNA". It matches the Rfam family "Archaeal small subunit ribosomal RNA", at positions 552 to 1271 of the family's 1478-position model. The record is from RNAcentral. Lineage: Archaea; Thermoproteati; Thermoproteota.
CACCGAAUUAAUCGUUGGUGUGCGGGGGAUACUGCUCGGCUAGGGGACGAGAGAGGCCGACGGUAUUUUCGGGGUAGGGGUGAAAUCCUAUAAUCCCGGGAAGACCACCAGUGGCGAAGGCUGUCGGCUAGAACGCGCCCGACGGUGAGGGAUGAAAGCUGGGGGAGCGAACCGGAUUAGAUACCCGGGUAGUCCCAGCUGUAAACGAUGCAGGCUAGGUGUUUGGGCGGCCACGUGCCGCUCUAGUGCCGCAGGGAAGCUGUUAAGCCUGCCGCCUGGGGAGUACGGUCGCAAGGCUGAAACUUAAAGGAAUUGGCGGGGGAGCACCACAAGGGGUGAAGCUUGCGGUUUAAUUGGAGUCAACGCCGGAAAUCUCACCGGGAGCGACAGCAGUUUGAAGGCCAGAUUAAAGGUCUUGCUAGACGAGCUGAGAGGAGGUGCAUGGCCGUCGCCAGUUCGUGCCGUGAGGUGUCCUGUUAAGUCAGGCAACGAUCGAGACCCGCGUCCUCUGUUGCUACUGGCCUUGUGCUAGGCACACUGAGGAGACCGCCACUGAUAAAGUGGAGGAAGGAGCGGGCCACGGCAGGUCAGUAUGCCCCGAAUCUCCCGGGCCACACGCGAGCUGCAAUGGCAGGUACAAUGGGUUCCGACCUCGAAAGGGGGAGGCAAUCUCGAAAGCCUGCCGUAGUUGGGAUCGAAGGUUGAAACCCAC